UACGUAGGGGGCAAGCGUUGUCCGGAUUUAUUGGGCGUAAAGAGCGUGUAGGCGGCCAGGUAGGUCUGCUGUGAAAACUCGAGGCUUAACCUCGAGAUGUCGGCGGAAACCAUCUGGCUAGAGUCCGGAAGAGGAGAAUGGAAUUCCCGGUGUAGCGGGGAAAUGCGCAGAUAUCGGGAAGAACACCCGGGGCGAAGGCGGUUCUCUGGGACGGUACUUACGCUGAGACGCGAAAGCGUGGGGAGCGAAC
This 250-nucleotide ribosomal RNA is filed under the name uncultured bacterium. RNAcentral describes it as "partial 16S ribosomal RNA". It matches the Rfam family "Bacterial small subunit ribosomal RNA", at positions 524 to 773 of the family's 1533-position model. The record is from RNAcentral.